This 202-nucleotide ribosomal RNA is filed under the name uncultured bacterium. RNAcentral describes it as "partial 16S ribosomal RNA". It matches the Rfam family "Bacterial small subunit ribosomal RNA", at positions 1299 to 1500 of the family's 1533-position model. The record is from RNAcentral.
CGCAGGCUGCAACCCGCCUGCGUGAAGUCGGAAUCGCUAGUAAUCGUAGAUCAGCAUGCUACGGUGAAUACGUUCCCGGGCCUUGUACACACCGCCCGUCAAACCAUGAGAGUUGGCAACACCCGAAGCCUGUAGCUUAACCGCAAGGACGGCGCAGUCGAAGGUGGGGUCGAUGAUUAGGGUUAAGUCGUAACAAGGUACC